GGUGGAGCAAAUCCCUAAAAGCCGUCCCAGUUCGGAUUGCAGGCUGAAACCCGCCUGUAUGAAGUUGGAAUCGCUAGUAAUCGCGGAUCAGCAUGCCGCGGUGAAUACGUUCCCGGGCCUUGUACACACCGCCCGUCACACCAUGAGAGUCGGGAACACCCGAAGUCCGUAGCCUAACUUGCAAAAGGGGGCGCGGCCGAAGGUGGGUUCGAUAAUUGGGGUGAAGUCGUAACAAGGUAUC
This 241-nucleotide ribosomal RNA is filed under the name uncultured bacterium. RNAcentral's name for it is "partial 16S ribosomal RNA". It matches the Rfam family "Bacterial small subunit ribosomal RNA", at positions 1261 to 1500 of the family's 1533-position model. The record is from RNAcentral.